GUCGAACGGGACUCUUCGGAGUUCAGUGGCGGACGGGUGAGUAACGCGUGAGAAUCUGCCUAGAGGAUGGGGACAACCACGGGAAACUGUGGCUAAUACCCAAUGAGCGGAGACGUUAAAGAUUUAUCGCCUCUAGAGGAGCUCGCGUCUGAUUAGCUAGUUGGUGGGGUAAAAGCCUACCAAGGCGACGAUCAGUAGCUGGUCUGAGAGGACAACCAGCCACACUGGGACUGAGACACGGCCCAGACUCCUACGGGAGGCAGCAGUGGGGAAUUUUCCGCAAUGGGCGAGAGCCUGACGGAGCAAUACCGCGUGAGGGAGGAAGGCUCUUGGGUCGUAAACCUCUUUUCUCAGGGAAGAAGAAAGUGACGGUACCUGAGGAAUCAGCCUCGGCUAACUCCGUGCCAGCAGCCGCGGUAAUACGGAGGAGGCAAGCGUUAUCCGGAAUUAUUGGGCGUAAAGCGUCCGUAGGUGGCUCUUCAAGUCUGCUGUCAAAGAGUGGGGCUUAACUCCAGAAAGGCAGUGGAAACUGAAAGGCUAGAGAGCCGUAGGGGUAGAGGGGAUUCCCGGUGUAGCGGUGAAAUGCGUAGAGAUCGGGAAGAACAUCGGUGGCGAAAGCGCUCUACCGGACGGUAUCUGACACUGAGGGACGAAAGCUAGGGGAGCGAAUGGGAUUAGAUACCCCAGUAGUCCUAGCCGUA
Molecule: ribosomal RNA, 701 nt
Filed under: uncultured cyanobacterium
Lineage: Bacteria; Bacillati; Cyanobacteriota
Description: bacterial SSU rRNA
Rfam family: Bacterial small subunit ribosomal RNA
Source: RNAcentral